Chrysemys picta bellii (western painted turtle) is the source of this 1960-nucleotide long non-coding RNA. RefSeq lists it as uncharacterized. The record is from RefSeq and is a predicted model, not a curated record. Lineage: Eukaryota; Metazoa; Chordata; Testudines; Emydidae.
GGAGCCCGCCCCGCCCGGCGAGCUGGCGGAGCCAACGCCGCCUGGCACCCCGGAGGGUGGUGGGUAAGAGCAACGAGCGGGGAACGAGGCACCAGACCCCGGCUCCAAAGCCCCCCAGCCCUUCACAGCGGCGCAGCCCCGCUCCCGCCACGCCACGUACCGCCUGGGGAAACCAACCGCCGCGUACAGCCAGUGCAGAGCCUGAGCAGCGAGCGCCCCCGGCCCUGCGCCCCGCAGGUGUGCAUGUACCUCCGAGCACAGUCGUCAGAGAUUUUUGCUCUCCUGACGUCCAGAGAGUGCAAUCUACGCUCCUCUUCAGACUUAUGAAGCUUUGGGAAGAAGACUGGCAAGAAUAUGUCCUGGCUCACAGGAAACAACCUUGGGUAGGAAAGCUGGGUGCAGCUGCAGGUGGACUUUGUCCUUGAAAAACACCAUAUAGGGUGGCUCCAAGGUAAGCGCCCUAAUCUCAGAGACCCUACAAACAGACGUUAUUGCUACCAGAAAUGACACCUUCCAGGAGAGAAGAAGAGAACAGGAAGCCAAUGUCUCGAAUGGGGCACCCAUGAGCUGUGCCAGCACUAGAUUCAGGUCUCAAGGAGGGAUGGGGUCCUGGACAUGGGGAUAGAGUCACUCAGACCCUUCAAGAACUGGACUGUCAUGUCGUGAGUGAAGACCAAGCUGCCCUGGACUGGAGGGUGAAAGGCUGAUAUAGUGGCCAAGUGGACCUUAAUUGAUGAAAGGGAUAAGCCCUGGAGCUUAAGAUGUAGAAGGUAGUCCAGGAUUGAUUGCAGCGAGGCCUGCUCAGGCCUAAUACCCUGGUCCAAGGUGGGAAGGUCCUGCUGAGGUGAUCUGCUAGUAUGUUCCUGCUCCCCAGGAGGCCACAAGAUGAAUGGCAUGCUGCACACAGAAGUCCCAGAGCUGGAGAGCUUUCUGGCAAAGGGCUGUCAAUCUGGCUCCGCACUGCUUGUUGAUAUAAAACAUUGCAGCAGUGUUGUCCAUCAGGACUUGUACUACCUUGCCCUUCAAGUGGGACCAGAAAGCGCGACAGGCCAAACCAACUGCUCUGAGCUCCCUGAUAUUUAUGUGGAGGGAGCGACUGUCCCAUGAUCAGCGACCUUGCAUGCUGAGCUCAACCUCAAGCCCAGGCCCAAGGCAUCGGAAACCAGGGUCAGCAACGAGGCCAGGGCUGUGAAGGGAACCCCCUCCAACACUGAUUUGGGGUCCAACUACCAUUCCAGUGACAACCGGAUGUGGUCAAGCAUCCUGACUACCAGGUCUAGAUCAUGCUUGUUGCAGGUGUAGACCUGACGUCAGCUACGCUGGCGGCGGCCGGAGAUGGAGCCGGGCAUGACGGACCACACCCCUGUUAAGAUUGCCACAGCCUUGGCGAUGGGAGUGGCCAGAACUGCUUCCUCGCUGACUGAGGCGUAUGGAGACCCAGCAAGCGGAAGGUGGCCCAAGUGUCCUUUAGCCCAUACAGCCUCGCAUCUUUCCAACCCCAUCAAACAGGAGGUCCUACAUUGAGGACUGCAUCUCCUGGGACAAGCCCCCAGUCUCAGGCCAAGAACUGCACCUCAUGAUCACUGCUGAAGCGACCAGCCUGGCCGUCGAAUCAGCUACGUCCCACACCAUUUGGAGGGAGCACUGUGCCUCUGUAAUACCCUCCUAUAUAAGGGACCCAAAUUCUUGGGCUGAGUCCUGGGGUAGGGAGUCCCAUAAGUUAAAGUUUUAUCUCCCCAAAAGAACCUAGUGGUUUGCGACCCUGAACUGAAGGCUGGCCGUGGAAUAAAUUUUCCUUCAAAAAAUCCUCUUGACCUCAUUGCUGCUGGCGGUAACUCUGCCUUCAGAGCUGGGCUCCCAGCCAGCAGCCACGACUCUCAAGCUGCCCAGCUCUGAAGGCAGGGCCGCUGCCAGCAGCAGUACUGCAACCCCCCCUACAAUAACCUUGUGACCACCCCAC